Molecule: long non-coding RNA, 528 nt
Organism: Dromaius novaehollandiae (emu)
Lineage: Eukaryota; Metazoa; Chordata; Aves; Casuariiformes; Dromaiidae
Source: Ensembl
AGCAGCCAGGCUGCCCGGGUCACUGGUUAUUUUUAUUCAGCCCCUAGAGUGAAUGCAAAUGAGACGCAGGGCACAGCGAAGCCGAAGAAAGUUUACCAAGUCUAAUCGAGUCCGUAGUCUGCUCGUGCCCGUCUGGACGCCGUUGGCGGGGCCCCGCGCGGAUUCGCAGUUUGUAGAACCUGUUGGGUUUAUUCUCCACAGAGAAGCACUGACCUGCUCAGUCCUGCGUACCAGCUGGCACCAAGGCAGAAAAUGGUCAAAGAGGCUGGAGAUGAUGGAGAUGGUUCCUGCUGACCGGCCUUUGAGGAGACCUGUGCUGUUUCCCUCAAACUCGGUUGCCCCAAAAGACCUUUACUGUGACUGUACAUCAGACCAAUUUCCUGAACGUCCUGCUCGGCCCUCUGGGUCUUCCAGAGCCGACUCUGCUGGUGGCUCGGGGAAAGGAGAAGCAGCCGGAUGGCACCAGGAGUCACGCUCCAUAGAGCUUUUCUGUGUGGGCAUCUUCUGGUUAGCGGUGAGCAAGGCAGU